CAGUCUGCUCUCCAAUAUAAAUAUUUGUGUGUGUGAGAAGAUUUGCAGGGAGUUUGCUUUUCCCCUUUGGUACACAGAGACUCAAAAACACUCCCAGUGCUGCUGGCAUCAAGUGAUGAAACCUGGCAUGGAAGACCUCUUUCUGUGGAAAAGUGCAUCUGCAUGCUCUAAUAAACAUUUGUUUUAAAUUGACCAAGUUGUGAGUUCACAAAUCACACGUUGGGGAUGAAGACUCAACCACUUUCCUGGGCAUCCUUACCUGAGAAUCCUUUCUGUGAAAGGCACAACUUGAGGACUUCUCUUCCUGUCACUUGUUACCUGGGAAAAGAGACUGACCCCAC
Sturnus vulgaris (Common starling) is the source of this 341-nucleotide non-coding RNA. The record is from RefSeq and is a predicted model, not a curated record. Lineage: Eukaryota; Metazoa; Chordata; Aves; Passeriformes; Sturnidae.